AUUGAACGCUGGCGGCAUGCCUUACACAUGCAAGUCGAACGGCAGCACGGGAGCAAUCCUGGUGGCGAGUGGCGAACGGGUGAGUAAUGUAUCGGAACGUGCCCAGUCGUGGGGGAUAACGUAGCGAAAGCUACGCUAAUACCGCAUACGAUCUAUGGAUGAAAGCGGGGGAUCGCAAGACCUCGCGCGAUUGGAGCGGCCGAUAUCAGAUUAGGUAGUUGGUGGGGUAAAGGCUCACCAAGCCGACGAUCUGUAGCUGGUCUGAGAGGACGACCAGCCACACUGAGAAUGAGACACGGCCCAGACUCCUACGGGAGGCAGCAGUGGGGAAUUUUGGCCAAUGGGCGCAAGCUUGAUCCAGCAAUGCCGCGUGCAGGAUGAAGGCCUGCGGGUUGUAAACUGCUUUUGUACGGAACGAAACGGCGAGCUCUAAUACAGUUUGCUAAUGACGGUACCGUAAGAAUAAGCACCGGCUAACUACGUGCCAGCAGCCGCCGUAA
This 500-nucleotide ribosomal RNA is filed under the name uncultured bacterium. RNAcentral describes it as "partial 16S ribosomal RNA". It matches the Rfam family "Bacterial small subunit ribosomal RNA", at positions 30 to 523 of the family's 1533-position model. The record is from RNAcentral.